GAUGAACGCUGGCGGUAUGCUUAACACAUGCAAGUCGAACGGACUCUUCGGAGUUAGUGGCGGACGGGUGAGUAACGCGUGAGAAUCUGGCUUUGGGUUCGGGACAACCACUGGAAACGGUGGCUAAUACCGGAUGUGCCGAGAGGUAAAAGAGAAAUUGCCUGAAGAUGAGCUCGCGUCUGAUUAGCUAGUUGGUGAGGUAAAGGCUCACCAAGGCAGCGAUCAGUAGCUGGUCUGAGAGGAUGACCAGCCACACUGGGACUGAGACACGGCCCAGACGACUACGGGAGGCAGCAGGGGGGAAUUGUCCGCACUGGGCGAGUGCCUGACGGAGCCAUACCGCGUGAGGGAAGAAGGCUCUUGGGUUGUAAACCUCUUUUCUUAGGGAAGAACAAAAUGACGGUACCUAAGGAAUCAGCAUCGGCUAACUCCGUG
This 435-nucleotide ribosomal RNA is filed under the name uncultured bacterium. RNAcentral's name for it is "partial 16S ribosomal RNA". It matches the Rfam family "Bacterial small subunit ribosomal RNA", at positions 28 to 507 of the family's 1533-position model. The record is from RNAcentral.